UUCCGGUUGAUCCUGCGGAGGCCAAUCCUAUCGGGAUCCGACUAAGCCAUGCGAGUCGAGAGGGUUCGGCCCUCGGCGAACUGCUCAGUAACACGUGGAUAAUCUACCCUUAGGUGGGGGAUAACCUCGGGAAACUGAGGAUAAUACCCCAUAGAUCUAGGAGGCUGGAAUGCGCCUAGAUUGAAAGCUCCGGCGCCUAAGGAUGAGUCUGCGGACUAUCAGGUAGUAGUCAGGGUAACGACCUGACUAGCCUACGACGGAUACGGGUUGUGGGAGCAAUAACCCGGAGACGAUAUCUGAGACAUGAUAUCGGGCCCUACGGGGCGCAGCAGGCGCGAAACCUUCACAAUGCGCGAAAGCGCGAUGAGGGGAUCCCGAGUGCUUGCUCGUAAGAGCAAGCUGUUUCUCUGUCUAAAAAGCAGAGAGAGGAAGGGCUGGGUAAGACGGGUGCCAGCCGCCGCGGUAAUACCUGCAGCUCGAGUGGUGGCCGCUAUUAUUGGGCCUAAAACGUCCGUAGCCGGUCUGGUAAAUGCCUGGGUAAAUCGUGUAGCUUAACUAUACGAAUUCCGGGUAGACUGCCAGACUUGAGACCGGGCGAGGCUAGAGGUACUCCCGGGGUAGAGGUGAAAUUCUGUAAUCCUGGGGGGACCACCAGUGGCGAAGGCGUCUAGCCAGAACGGGUCUGACGGUGAGGGACGAAACCCUGGGGCGCAAACCGGAUUAGAUACCCGGGUAGUCCAGGGCGCAAACGCUGCCUGCUUGAUGUUAGCUGGGCUCCGAGCCCAGCUAGUGUCGGAGCGAAGGUGUUAAGCAGGCUGCCUGGGAAGUACGGUCGCAAGACUGAAACUUAAAGGAAUUGGCGGGGGAGCACAGCAACGGGUGGAGCAAGCGGUUUAAUUGGAUCAACGCCGGAAAU
RNAcentral lists this ribosomal RNA (916 nucleotides) under uncultured archaeon. RNAcentral's name for it is "bacterial SSU rRNA". It matches the Rfam family "Archaeal small subunit ribosomal RNA", at positions 1 to 925 of the family's 1478-position model. The record is from RNAcentral.